RNAcentral lists this ribosomal RNA (253 nucleotides) under uncultured bacterium. Its description in RNAcentral is "partial 16S ribosomal RNA". It matches the Rfam family "Bacterial small subunit ribosomal RNA", at positions 524 to 776 of the family's 1533-position model. The record is from RNAcentral.
UACGAAGGGGGCUAGCGUUGUUCGGAAUUACUGGGCGUAAAGCGCACGUAGGCGGAUAUUUAAGUCAGGGGUGAAAUCCCGGGGCUCAACCCCGGAACGGCCUUUGAUACUGGGUAUCUAGAGUCCAGAAGAGGUGAGUGGAAUUCCGAGUGUAGAGGUGAAAUUCGUAGAUAUUCGGAGGAACACCAGUGGCGAAGGCGGCUCACUGGUCUGGUACUGACGCUGAGGUGCGAAAGCGUGGGGAGCAAACAGG